RNAcentral lists this long non-coding RNA (1020 nucleotides) under Elaeis guineensis (African oil palm). RNAcentral describes it as "long non-coding RNA (EGUI_LNC081370)". Lineage: Eukaryota; Viridiplantae; Streptophyta; Magnoliopsida; Arecales; Arecaceae. The record is from RNAcentral.
UCUAGUAUUCUCUCUGAAUGAUAGAAUUAUCACUCAUCAUAUGAUGAUUCUGUUGAACUAUAUGAUGAAUGAUUGGGUUGAUCGAGCCAUCCUCGAGCCUGAUCAUUCUUUAGCUAGAAUCACUGAGUAGGUUCAUAUUAAUGGUUGGACCUAACCGAAACUUUCAGUGGAGGCCCAUCACCUACUGAAAUGAAAUCUGGGAUGAAAUUAAAUACUAAAAGUUGUUUGGAGAAACAACUGGUUGAGAAAUUAUCCAUGGGUGCAUAUGGGUUGACUGAGCCAUUCUCGGGCUUAUAUGCAGUCUAUGUGGAUUCUAGUACCCGCUAAGAAAUUAAUGUAAUUUCUCGAAUUGGAGGUAGAAGCUAUCAAUUCGUAUAAAAUAGUAGAUAAAUUUUUAGACUAAAAUCCAAGUCUUUAGGCUUAAAAUAGUUCAUAUACUAAUAGGUCAAUUAUUUUUUUUCAAAAAUGGUUAGAAAAUUAUCGCUCUCUUCACUGUUAGACAGUGAAAAUGUUAUCAGACCUAACUUCAAUAGCUAGUAUCAGAAGUUGAGUAUAGUUUUAGAGCUAAUUGAUUAAGAAGUCUCAGGCUAAUCCAAACAGACUUAGAAGAGAAAUCAGUAAAUGGUUGCUGGUCAAGAUAGUUAUAUGAUAACUCCUUGAAGUUUCUCUGUUGGUAAUACUACUAUCUGGGUAUAGGAUACCGACAAUAUAAGUCAUGUUUGUAAAUAGUUGCAAAAGACUUCAGGAUAGUAGAAGAUUUGAAAACGACAAGAGACUCUUAAAUGUAAGAGAUGGAAGUCUGUUCCAAUCUUAACACUAAGAAUCAUCGACCUUGUUUUCAACCCGAAAGAUGUCAUUUUAAGUGAUUGUCACUAUUAUCCAAUUUUAUUGAUGGUGUCAAUAAGUAUGAUUGUUAUAAUAUCAUUGUGAAUGAUACUACAAUAAUGAGUGGAUAAUUAAAAAUGACAUAAACUCAGUAUCAUAGUCUGUUAGUAUAAAGUACACUUCUAACUAGCAUCC